Molecule: transfer RNA, 74 nt
Filed under: Campylobacter sputorum subsp. bubulus
Lineage: Bacteria; Pseudomonadati; Campylobacterota; Epsilonproteobacteria; Campylobacterales; Campylobacteraceae
Also listed under: 2 other names
Description: tRNA-Gln(ctg)
Rfam family: tRNA
About the family: Transfer RNA (tRNA) molecules are approximately 80 nucleotides in length. Their secondary structure includes four short double-helical elements and three loops (D, anti-codon, and T loops).
Source: RNAcentral
UGCCCUAUAGUUUAGCGGUAGAACUGCUGACUCUGGAUCAGCUAACAGAGGUUCGAAUCCUCUUAGGGCAUCCA